GACGAACGCUGGCGGCGUGCUUCAAACAUGCAAGUCGAACGGAGUGAGAGCGAGCUUGCUCGCUCUCACUUAGUGGCGGACUGGUGAGUAACGCGUGAGCAAUCUGCCUAUCAAAGGGGGAUAACAGAGGGAAACUUCUGCUAAUACCGCAUAAGACCACGGUGGGGCAUCCCACAGGGGUCAAAGGAGCAAUCCGAUGAUAGAUGAGCUUGCGUUUCAUUAGCUAGUUGGUAAGGUAACGGCUUACCAAGGCGACGAUGAAUAGCCGAUCUGAGAGGAUGACCGGCCACACUGGGACUGAGAUACGGCCCAG
RNAcentral lists this ribosomal RNA (313 nucleotides) under uncultured bacterium. RNAcentral's name for it is "bacterial SSU rRNA". It matches the Rfam family "Bacterial small subunit ribosomal RNA", at positions 28 to 334 of the family's 1533-position model. The record is from RNAcentral.